Molecule: long non-coding RNA, 330 nt
Organism: Bos taurus (domestic cattle)
Lineage: Eukaryota; Metazoa; Chordata; Mammalia; Artiodactyla; Bovidae
Source: Ensembl
GUCAGAGUCUGCAGACAUCCGGGAAGAGCCUCACCUCGUUUGACCCUGAACGCUGGCCCAGAGCCCGGCCGGGACUCGCUGCUGCCUCCCGGCGGUGGAGGUUGGACAUGCACCACCACGAGUGCCCCCUUCCAGUCAGGCCCUUGUUUAUGAGAUUGACAUGUGUUCGUUUCAUCUUCGUAACAGUACCUCUGAGGAUCACUUUGAUUGUUGCAUGGAGAAUGUAUGUUGGGGUGACGGACAAAUAUCUGAGAGACCAGAGAGGAGGCUACUACAUUUGUCUAGGUAAGGAUACUGGAACAGGCUGCCAUUUCCUAUUCCAGAGGAUCU